Camelina sativa (false flax) is the source of this 517-nucleotide non-coding RNA. The record is from RefSeq and is a predicted model, not a curated record. NCBI's taxonomy places the organism in Eukaryota, Viridiplantae, Streptophyta, Magnoliopsida, Brassicales, Brassicaceae.
GAACUUUAAUGAGAACUUUAAUGGCAAUUUCAAUGGGAACUUCAAUGGAAACUUCAGAGGAAGAGGAAGAGGGGGUUUUGUGGGACGGCCUCGUGGUGGUUUUGGCGGAGGUAAUUUCCGAGGUGGUAGGGGAGCUAGAGGACGUGGUGGUCGUGGCAAUGGAAGAGUACGUGAUGAAAAUGUAUCUGCAGAGGAUCUUGAUGCUGAGUUGGACAAGUACCACAAAGAGGCAAUGGAAACAAGUUAAAAAAGGGGAGACAAAAGUCUAUUGCAUGUCUACAUGUAUUCCUUCCGUUAGUGCACGAUAUGCUUUUGUAUUAGUAUGAUCUUUAGAUUGAUGUCAAUGGGUCUGACACCAUUGAUUAGCUUUUUUUUCUUUCUUCUUUCUAUUUGUGAGCUUUUUAGCUUUUGCAGUUGAGGUCCGAGAAACAGCAUUGUGUGUACCGUGGAACUCAGACUCUUCUAAAGUGUUUAUUCAAAACACAUAUCCAUAUACUGGUCUCUUGGUAGUGUUUAA